GCUAAGAUAAACCUAACAUUAUGAUGUCAACAUAGAAAUACAGAAGAAAAUAGAAGAACGUACAUCCUCCAACGAAAGCUCCCAAUAUUCCUUCAACUCCAUGGUUCUCGAUAAUUGAGAAAGUUCCUCCAUAAACUUGUGAGUUAGUUUCCUGUGCAGCCUCCUUUUAACGCAUUGACGAAGAAUCUGAAAACCUGAAGCAUUCCGGGACUGUGAUUCCUUAGUUUCACAAGAUGGGCAAUACCACUCCCCAUCAGGAACUUUAAUAAGUGGAGGAUCUAAGCAAUAUGUAUGGUACUCCGAAUCACAACCAUCACAAAGAAGAACAUUGACAUCAUCUUUAUCCAUGCCACAUACUUUGCAGAGUCCUUCCUCCCAAGGAACUUUAGGAAGUAAGCUCUCAUUCACAUGAACGAUUCCCAAGGAGCUUUAGGAAGUAAGCUCUCAUUCACAUGAGCGAGGAGUUCAUCUCUCGCUUUUGCAUCUUCACUGCUUAAACUACCGUCAUUUGAACACUCAAUUUUCUCGAUUAAAGGAAGAACCUGGGGAGAAAUGAGCAAGCCAAAACUUAGUUAAACAACAAGAAUGACAACACGACUACUAGUAUAACCAAAGAAGUUGAAUCACACACUCAAUGGAGCAAGGCUCAACUGCU
Molecule: long non-coding RNA, 655 nt
Filed under: Nicotiana benthamiana
Lineage: Eukaryota; Viridiplantae; Streptophyta; Magnoliopsida; Solanales; Solanaceae
Description: long non-coding RNA (NBEN_LNC032610)
Source: RNAcentral